This 465-nucleotide ribosomal RNA is filed under the name uncultured bacterium. RNAcentral's name for it is "partial 16S ribosomal RNA". It matches the Rfam family "Bacterial small subunit ribosomal RNA", at positions 28 to 507 of the family's 1533-position model. The record is from RNAcentral.
GAUGAACGCUGGCGGCGUGCUUAACACAUGCAAGUCGAACGGAAAGGCCCAAGCUUGCUUGGGUACUCGAGUGGCGAACGGGUGAGUAACACGUGGGUGAUCUGCCCUGCACUUCGGGAUAAGCCUGGGAAACUGGGUCUAAUACCGGAUAGGACCACAUUUUGGAUGGUGUGGUGGAAAGUUUUUCGGUGUGGGAUGAGCUCGCGGCCUAUCAGCUUGCUGGUGGGGUAAUGGCCUACCAAGGCGUCGACGGGUAGCCGGCCUGAGAGGGUGUACGGCCACAUUGGGACUGAGAUACGGCCCAGACUCCUACGGGAGGCAGCAGUGGGGAAUAUUGCACAAUGGGCGCAAGCCUGAUGCAGCGACGCCGCGUGGGGGAUGACGGCCUUCGGGUUGUAAACUCCUUUCGCUAGGGACGAAGCGCAAGUGACGGUACCUGGAGAAGAAGCACCGGCUAACUACGUG